UCAGAUGUUGAACGUGAAGGAUAACGUUGCGUCAGCAACGGCCCGUAGGGCGAGGCGAAGCCGAGUCAUCCUGCACGACCCACCA
RNAcentral lists this small RNA (85 nucleotides) under Salmonella enterica. RNAcentral describes it as "partial RtT sRNA". It matches the Rfam family "RtT RNA", at positions 49 to 130 of the family's 130-position model. Rfam says of the family: This family represents a bacterial cis-regulatory element known as RtT RNA. The exact function of RtT is unknown although it is thought that it may be involved in changing the cellular response in relation to amino acid starvation. The record is from RNAcentral. RNAcentral also lists the same sequence under 3 other names. Lineage: Bacteria; Pseudomonadati; Pseudomonadota; Gammaproteobacteria; Enterobacterales; Enterobacteriaceae.